Long non-coding RNA from Lytechinus variegatus (green sea urchin), 569 nucleotides. RefSeq lists it as uncharacterized. The record is from RefSeq and is a predicted model, not a curated record. The transcript is spliced from 3 exons. Lineage: Eukaryota; Metazoa; Echinodermata; Echinoidea; Temnopleuroida; Toxopneustidae.
GAGCUCUUGUAACAAGCUUUGUCGCGGUAGACAGCUGCUCAUUCUUUUUAUUUAUAGAUAGACAGUUUUUAACAACGAGGACAAAUCGUAAGGUUUCGGCACUGUGUUCAAGGCGUUUUUUUUUUGUUUAAUAUUUUUCAAAGAUUUUUUUUUUUUACAUAUUUUGUUAGAUAUCGUCUUUUACGUCAUCACAGAGUAUCUUUUAAUUGUAGAGAUGUAUGAAAUAUCAUAUAAUAUUCUAUAAUACGUUAUAUUAAAUUUUACAAUUAUUGACGUCUCACGAAAAUGAUAACCGACCGAUCACGUAAUGAGUACACGUAUCACGUGACUUGAAAAUCUGCUCUGUCCCGCCUCGAUUGCACUCCACGGUGACCGGCCCGACUGCCAAAAAAUACUGGAAAUAGGACUCAAAAUAUAAUGACAUUUGAUGAGUUUGCUACAACAUGCACAAAGGAGUAAUUAGAAGAAAGUGUAUACUUCAUCGAUCGCCACAGAUCGUGAAGUAGUGUGCGCCUGCUCGCCGGGAUGUUUAUAAGACACCACCCUUGAUUCCAAGGAUAUACAUACCA